CGUAAGGCCUUGAGGCAAGGUUGGACUUACGAAUUGUGUCAGGUCCGGAAGGAAGCAGCACUAAGUAUGCUCUGGCUUGUGCCUUAAGUUAUUGAGCAAAUC
RNAcentral lists this signal recognition particle RNA (102 nucleotides) under Pediococcus acidilactici DSM 20284. Its description in RNAcentral is "Bacterial signal recognition particle RNA". The stretch from base 7 to 93 matches the Rfam family "Bacterial small signal recognition particle RNA". From Rfam's summary of the family: The signal recognition particle (SRP) is a universally conserved ribonucleoprotein involved in the co-translational targeting of proteins to membranes. Archaeal SRP consists of a 7S RNA and homologues of the eukaryotic SRP19 and SRP54 proteins. In most bacteria, the SRP consists of a 4.5S RNA and the Ffh protein (a homologue of the eukaryotic SRP54 protein). The record is from RNAcentral. Lineage: Bacteria; Bacillati; Bacillota; Bacilli; Lactobacillales; Lactobacillaceae.